RNAcentral lists this unclassified non-coding RNA (358 nucleotides) under soil metagenome. Its description in RNAcentral is "partial contains 5.8S ribosomal RNA, internal transcribed spacer 2, and large subunit ribosomal RNA". The stretch from base 1 to 120 matches the Rfam family "5.8S ribosomal RNA", at positions 35 to 154 of the family's 154-position model. The record is from RNAcentral.
GAUGAAGAACGUAGCGAAAUGCGAUAAGUAAUGUGAAUUGCAGAAUUCAGUGAAUCAUCGAAUCUUUGAACGCACAUUGCGCCCGUCAGUAUUCUGGCGGGCAUGCCUGUUCGAGCGUCAUUACGCCCCUCAAGUCCCCUGUGGACUUGGUGUUGGGGAUCGGCGAGGCUGGUUUUCCAGCACAGCCGUCCCUUAAAUUAAUUGGCGGUCUCGCCGUGGCCCUCCUCUACGCAGUAGUAAAACACUCGCAACAGGAGCCCGGCGCGGUCCACUGCCGUAAAACCCCCCAACUUUUUAUAGUUGACCUCGAAUCAGGUAGGACUACCCGCUGAACUUAAGCAUAUCAAUAAGCGGAGGA